RNAcentral lists this transfer RNA (65 nucleotides) under Dipodomys ordii (Ord's kangaroo rat). It matches the Rfam family "tRNA". Rfam says of the family: Transfer RNA (tRNA) molecules are approximately 80 nucleotides in length. Their secondary structure includes four short double-helical elements and three loops (D, anti-codon, and T loops). Further hydrogen bonds mediate the characteristic L-shaped molecular structure. tRNAs have two regions of fundamental functional importance: the anti-codon, which is responsible for specific mRNA codon recognition, and the 3' end, to which the tRNAs corresponding amino acid is attached (by aminoacyl-tRNA synthetases). tRNAs cope with the degeneracy of the genetic code in two manners: having more than one tRNA (with a specific anti-codon) for a particular amino acid; and 'wobble' base-pairing, i.e. permitting non-standard base-pairing at the 3rd anti-codon position. Lineage: Eukaryota; Metazoa; Chordata; Mammalia; Rodentia; Heteromyidae. The record is from Rfam by way of RNAcentral.
GGUGGCUCAGUGAUAGAGUGCUUGCCUAACAUGCAUGAGGCCCUGGGUUCAAUUCCUCAGCACCA